UACGGAGGGUGCAAGCAUUAAUCGGAUUUAUUGGGCGUAAAGGGGGCGUAGGCGGAAUUGUAAGCAAGAUGUGAAAGCCCGGGGCUUAACCUCGGAACUGCAUUUUGAACUACUAUUCUAGAGGGUAGGCGGAGAAAACGGAAUUCCACAUGUAGCGGUGAAAUGCGUAGAUAUGUGGAAGAACACCGGUGGUGAAGACGGUUUUCUAGCUUAUUCCUGACGCUAAGGCCCGAAAGCUAGGGGAGCAAACAGG
Molecule: ribosomal RNA, 253 nt
Filed under: uncultured bacterium
Lineage: Bacteria
Description: partial 16S ribosomal RNA
Rfam family: Bacterial small subunit ribosomal RNA
Source: RNAcentral